Non-coding RNA from Cinara cedri, 592 nucleotides. The record is from the annotation of a GenBank genome assembly. NCBI's taxonomy places the organism in Eukaryota, Metazoa, Arthropoda, Insecta, Hemiptera, Aphididae.
GCAUAAAAAACUCGCAAAAUAUAAAUGCCUAUAAAUAACUCAAAAAUAGCUCAAAUGUUUUGAAAUUGUUACCACGACUAUAACAAGCAAAUAGAAGUUUUCUGUCGAAAUUUCAAGUCUCCACGAAAAUAUUUUUAACUGAAUUACAAUGAAAUAAAACGAGAUUUAACAUAAUUAUAAAAGAUUUAUUUUCUUUAAUUGUCUAGUUCUUUUUACAUAUUUUUGAUUUAGCUCAAUUAUAAAAGAAAAUUGAUAAACUCUUCUGGUCACUUACUGGAUUAAAAAUUCAACAAAAGAUCUCACAAUUUUUUCUCUUAAAAAAACAUGAGUAUACAAAUUUUGCUAAAAAUGGAGCUGUCUGGUUAUUACACAGAUCUCUUCAAUUUAUAUAUUGGUCUAUUUUUUAACAUUAUUUCUAGAUUUGAAUAUUAGUAUAAUAAAAAAUUAUUUACAAAUGUUUGGAAAGGUACCAGUAAAAAAUUACAAACUAAAGAAGUAGUGACUUAGUCAGAGUAAAAUUAUAUGACAUUAAAAUAAGAGCAGAAUGCUAUUUGGUCCUGUACUAGACAGUACAAAGAUAGAAUUAAGCAUA